CCUACGGGAGGCAGCAGUGGGGAAUAUUGGUCAAUGGGCGCAAGCCUGACCCAGCAACGCCGCGUGAAGGAAGAAGGCCCUCUGGUUUUUAACUUCUUUUUGCAGGGACGAAGCAAGUGACGGUACCUGCCGUAUAAGCCACAGCUAACUACGGGCCAGCGGCCGCGGUAAUACGUAGGUGGCAAGCGUUAUCCGGAUUUACUGGGUGUACAGGGCGUGUAGGCGGGGAAGCAAGUCAGAUGUGAAAGUCCAGGGAUCAACCCUGGAACGGCGUUUGAAACUGUUUUUCUUGAGUGAUGGAGAGGUAGGCGGAAUGCGGGGUGUAGCGGUGAAAUGCAUAGAUAUAACGCAGAACACCGGUGGCGAAGGCGGCCU
Molecule: ribosomal RNA, 375 nt
Filed under: uncultured bacterium
Lineage: Bacteria
Description: partial 16S ribosomal RNA
Rfam family: Bacterial small subunit ribosomal RNA
Source: RNAcentral